This 73-nucleotide transfer RNA is filed under the name Ailuropoda melanoleuca (giant panda). It matches the Rfam family "tRNA". From Rfam's summary of the family: Transfer RNA (tRNA) molecules are approximately 80 nucleotides in length. Their secondary structure includes four short double-helical elements and three loops (D, anti-codon, and T loops). Lineage: Eukaryota; Metazoa; Chordata; Mammalia; Carnivora; Ursidae. The record is from Rfam by way of RNAcentral.
GCCUGGUUCGCUCAGUUGGAAGAGCGUAUGACUCUUGAUCUCAGGGUUGUGAGUUGGAGCCCCACAUUAGGUG